CCCUGAAGGGCCGUUGAAGACGACGACGUAGAUAGGCUGGGUGUGUAAGCGUAGCGAUACGUUGAGCUAACCAGUACUAAUGACCCGAGAGGCUUAACCUUACAACACCGAAGGUGUUU
RNAcentral lists this ribosomal RNA (119 nucleotides) under Pectobacterium carotovorum subsp. carotovorum. Its description in RNAcentral is "partial 23S ribosomal RNA". The stretch from base 1 to 101 matches the Rfam family "Bacterial large subunit ribosomal RNA", at positions 2825 to 2925 of the family's 2925-position model. The record is from RNAcentral. RNAcentral also lists the same sequence under 1 other name. Lineage: Bacteria; Pseudomonadati; Pseudomonadota; Gammaproteobacteria; Enterobacterales; Pectobacteriaceae.